RNAcentral lists this ribosomal RNA (835 nucleotides) under uncultured Staphylococcus sp. Its description in RNAcentral is "bacterial SSU rRNA". It matches the Rfam family "Bacterial small subunit ribosomal RNA", at positions 73 to 892 of the family's 1533-position model. Lineage: Bacteria; Bacillati; Bacillota; Bacilli; Caryophanales; Staphylococcaceae. The record is from RNAcentral.
AAGGAGCUUGCUCCUUUGACGUUAGCGGCGGACGGGUGAGUAACACGUGGGUAACCUACCUAUAAGACUGGGACAACUUCGGGAAACCGGAGCUAAUACCGGAUAAUAUGUUGAACCGCAUGGUUCAAUAGUGAAAGAUGGUUUUGCUAUCACUUAUAGAUGGACCCGCGCCGUAUUAGCUAGUUGGUAAGGUAACGGCUUACCAAGGCAACGAUGCGUAGCCGACCUGAGAGGGUGAUCGGCCACACUGGGACUGAGACACGGUCCAGACUCCUACGGGAGGCAGCAGUAGGGAAUCUUCCGCAAUGGGCGAAAGCCUGACGGAGCAACGCCGCGUGAGUGAUGAAGGUCUUCGGAUCGUAAAACUCUGUUAUUAGGGAAGAACAAAUGUGUAAGUAACUAUGCACGUCUUGACGGUACCUAAUCAGAAAGCCACGGCUAACUACGUGCCAGCAGCCGCGGUAAUACGUAGGUGGCAAGCGUUAUCCGGAAUUAUUGGGCGUAAAGCGCGCGUAGGCGGUUUUUUAAGUCUGAUGUGAAAGCCCACGGCUCAACCGUGGAGGGUCAUUGGAAACUGGAAAACUUGAGUGCAGAAGAGGAAAGUGGAAUUCCAUGUGUAGCGGUGAAAUGCGCAGAGAUAUGGAGGAACACCAGUGGCGAAGGCGACUUUCUGGUCUGUAACUGACGCUGAUGUGCGAAAGCGUGGGGAUCAAACAGGAUUAGAUACCCUGGUAGUCCACGCCGUAAACGAUGAGUGCUAAGUGUUAGGGGGUUUCCGCCCCUUAGUGCUGCAGCUAACGCAUUAAGCACUCCGCCUGGGGAGUACGACCGCAAG